UAACACAUGCAAGUCGAAUGGUAACAGGAAACAGCUUGCUGUUUCGCUGACGAGUGGCGGACGGGUGAGUAAUGUCUGGGAAACUGCCUGAUGGAGGGGGAUAACUACUGGAAACGGUAGCUAAUACCGCAUAACGUCGCAAGACCAAAGAGGGGGACCUUCGGGCCUCUUGCCAUCAGAUGUGCCCAGAUGGGAUUAGCUAGUAGGUGGGUAACGGCUCACCUAGGCGACGAUCCCUAGCUGGUCUGAGAGGAUGACCAGCCACACUGGAACUGAGACACGGUCCAGACUCCUACGGGAGGCAGCAGUGGGGAAUAUUGCACAAUGGGCGCAAGCCUGAUGCAGCCAUGCCGCGUGUAUGAAGAAGGCCUUCGGGUUGUAAAGUACUUUCAGCGGGGAGGAAGGGAGUAAAGUUAAUACCUUUGCUCAUUGACGUUACCCGCAGAAGAAGCACCGGCUAACUCCGUGCCAGCAGCCGCGGUAAUACGGAGGGUGCAAGCGUUAAUCGGAAUUACUGGGCGUAAAGCGCACGCAGGCGGUUUGUUAAGUCAGAUGUGAAAUCCCCGGGCUCAACCUGGGAACUGCAUCUGAUACUGGCAAGCUUGAGUCUCGUAGAGGGGGGUAGAAUUCCAGGUGUAGCGGUGAAAUGCGUAGAGAUCUGGAGGAAUACCGGUGGCGAAGGCGGCCCCCUGGACGAAGACUGACGCUCAGGUGCG
Molecule: ribosomal RNA, 716 nt
Filed under: uncultured Pseudomonadota bacterium
Lineage: Bacteria; Pseudomonadati; Pseudomonadota
Description: bacterial SSU rRNA
Rfam family: Bacterial small subunit ribosomal RNA
Source: RNAcentral